RNAcentral lists this ribosomal RNA (434 nucleotides) under uncultured bacterium. Its description in RNAcentral is "partial 16S ribosomal RNA". It matches the Rfam family "Bacterial small subunit ribosomal RNA", at positions 29 to 507 of the family's 1533-position model. The record is from RNAcentral.
AGCGAACGCUGGCGGCAGGCCUAACACAUGCAAGUCGAACGAACCUUUCGGGGUUAGUGGCGGACGGGUGAGUAACACGUGGGAACGUGCCUUUAGGUUCGGAAUAACUCAGGGAAACUUGUGCUAAUACCGAAUGUGCCCUUCGGGGGAAAGAUUUAUUGCCUUUAGAGCGGCCCGCGUCUGAUUAGCUAGUUGGUUGAGGUAAUGGCUCACCAAGGCGACGAUCAGUAGCUGGUCUGAGAGGAUGAUCAGCCACAUUGGGACUGAGACACGGCCCAAACUCCUACGGGAGGCAGCAGUGGGGAAUCUUGCGCAAUGGGCGAAAGCCUGACGCAGCCAUGCCGCGUGAAUGAUGAAGGUCUUAGGAUUGUAAAAUUCUUUCACCGGGGACGAUAAUGACGGUACCCGGAGAAGAAGCCCCGGCUAACUUCGUG